CUGGGGAUCUCAAUGAAGGUCAAUGCCCUGCUCACUUUUCAGUGGGGUUCUGUCCCGAGCGAUGUUUUCUCUAUGAUUCUAUAACCACUCCUUUUCUGACGGCUGUAUGCAGGCUGUGGAGAGCAGAAGUGCCCGGCCUGCCCAUUGUUCGUACAGAUUCUCCCUGAUGGAGUCUAACCUGACAGUGACCUCACAUCAUGCUACCGGAAGCUCAUCUUGGCUCUGCAAGGAGAACAACGCCAGGUCGUUCUCACAAUGCAUCCAUGAGGAACUGAAUGUUACACAGGAUGCCAGGCAUGUGGUUGGCCUCAAGCUGGGGUUCGUUUGAGCCCAUGGCAGCAUCAGUGACACCCAAAAGGUCGGCAGGAGGCAGCCAUGGAUGUCCUGCGACUCAUCUCUCAGCUGGCUGGCUAGAGACUGUAGUGUUUCACCCACAAUGGUAAGAGCGAGAGCUCCUU
Molecule: long non-coding RNA, 458 nt
Filed under: Fukomys damarensis (Damara mole-rat)
Lineage: Eukaryota; Metazoa; Chordata; Mammalia; Rodentia; Bathyergidae
Description: lncRNA (ENSFDAG00000022196.1)
Source: RNAcentral